CCACGUAACACAGGUAUCCCCAAGCAUAACACACCAACUAGACAUACAACGGCGAGUGUCCAGACUUCAAGCAUGAUCAUCAUCGACAAAGGCGGUGAUAUCACAAGAUCCUGUAGAAGGAAGAAGAAUCCGAAUGGUCAGAGUACCAUGCAAGUCGCUGAUGAACGGAUUUUACUCGUUUAAAAAUAAACCUAAUUACCUAAGUAAUCAGGGUCAUAUUUUCCUGAGGUCUGAAUGUCGUGUCUACUCAAAGUUAUAAAAAAAAUCUAAUCAAUUAAGUAGGUUUUGUGGGGUAGGUUCGAAAAUCUCUAAAACUAUCAAUUAAACAAAAUAUGCGAAUAACCGAGAAAACAUAGGUUGCAAGACUGCACAAAUAAUGAUGGAGAAACGCUAAUGGAUAAAAUUUCGUAGAGUUUGAAUCCACCUAAGCUAUCCAGACAAAUAAGUGAUAUCCAAUUAACUCAAUUUAUGCCAAACAAGUUGUAUAGAAUUUACCGCCGCAAUCCUUCUCUACUUGGGUCACGCCUUUUGGAUCUGCUAACCUACUACCAUCCUACUAUCCUAGUCCGCUCUCUCGAGACAAAUAUUUGAAACCGGUACGGCUAUAAAUCAAAGAAGAAUUGCUCUCAUGACGGAGUAGUUUAUUCGCUCCCGGAUGAGGGUUACCGCCUAACCUAAUUGAUUAAUUUUGGUGUUCUAAGAUAAACAAGCUCUUUCGAGAUGAUGCAAAUUUAAAAAUAUCCUACUCAAGAAGGCCACAUAAGAACACGAACCCGAUCGAAAUCAAUCAUAAAUUGAAAUAAAACACACUUGCAUAAAUCGAAAUAAUCAAAAUAUCAUUAGUUCAUAAGGAAUCACUUAGGGUUCAUCUAAUCUAAGCAAGAAGGAGUUUAGCUACUCAUAACCAUGAAGAACAAAUCGAAAUCAACAAAAGAAGACAUUGAAAUCAGAUUUACAAGAAGAAAUCUCAGAAACCGAAUUUCGCCGAGUUCCACGUACCAAAGUUUUAGGAAAUUGAACAAGCUUUCCAACGGAACCGGCCUAGCAUCAAUCAAACUUCUUAGCUAAGAGAUAUGUGCAAAAUACGAAUCUACAAAGUUUUUCGACACAGUCAAGAUCCAAGCUCCUUGAAGAUGUCAAAAUGCUUCUCAUUGCUUGUCCUAGAUCAUUCAUACAUGUCGUAUCACUCCAAUUAAUGCCUUAAUGGCGUCAUGUACGUGAAAUCUGUAAAAACACUCCAAAACUACGUCAUAUGGACCCGACCGGAUCUGAGUCACUAAAUUGAGAUAAAGGCUUAAAAUGCAUAAAACAACCGAAACUUCUACCUAAAGAAAUCUAAUUAUGCAUGAAAUAUCACUUAAUGAGGUCGAUAAAUGCGACAAAUCUAGCGUCAUCAGUAGCGCAGGAUGCGAUGCAUGGAUGCCAAAUGAGAACUAUGAGGAGCUGAAAUAAACUGGCUCACCUCCUGGACAGCAUAAGAUAUAUCCGGCCGAGUAGAAAUAAGAUAAAUCAAACGUCCCACUAACUGCCGAUAUAAUCAAGGAUCAUCAAGAGGAGUACCAUCGUCAGGACUAAGCUUAAGAUUAAGCUGAAUGGGUGUUGAAACGGGCGUGCACUCCGAGAAAUCAGCCAUGUCAAGAAGGUCGCAUAUAUAUUUAUGCUGAGACACAAAUAUACGAGUUGGCUGUCGAAGAAUUUCAAGACCCAAGAAAUAUGAGAGAUGGCAUCAGAUCCUUACGCAGGGAAUGUGAAGUAAGAACAUUCUUCACCUCUAUAAUACCAACUGAAUCAUUCCUAGUGAGCACCAUAUCUUCCACAUAAAGGGGCAACACAGUCAGAAACAGAGAGGAUUGAUAGAGAAAAAGAUAAGGAUAUUGAGCAGUCUGAACAAAACCAUGCUAAAAUAGAACAGUAGUAAAUUUAUCAUAACUGCCCAUAUCCCCAAUUAUGGAUUGGAGUUUGAAAUUGCCGACUACAUGUGAGUAAUGGCGCCAUCUAGGGUUGGAAACGAAGGGGUAUCGAGGAGUAGAAUAGCAGAUAAUCUGAUUGCUGGAGUCUGGAGAUAGGACUGGAGUUAGGCUUGGCUUGAAUGAUUGAAUCGAGAUUGUGAAGUGGAGGAUUGAAUCGAGACGAGGAUUGAAUGUGAUUUGGGAAUUCGAUGAGUGGACUGGAGGAGGAUUCAAAGGGGUAUCUCAGUGUGAGUUUAUGACUGUGGUUGUUAGAGAGUAGAAACUUAGACGACUUAGGAUUCAUCGAAGCAAUUAACCUUGGAAUAUAGUUUCUCGAGAUGAGUCCAAAUUUGCACAGUAGAUGAGACAGUUCGAAGAGUUAGAGCAAUUCGCGGUUGUACCCAGUUUAUAAUCCAGCUAACGACCUUUGCGUUGUUGGUCUUCCAAAUUUUGAGAUUCUUUUGAAAUGUUGCGAGUUCCUAUGCACUCUUAGUCUCGGUAGCCAUCUUAGCAGCAUCAUGAGUAGAUGAAGUGGAUAUAGGGGUUGGAGCUUGUGGUUCAGCAGCCGUUCUGUCAAGAUUAGAAAUCAGUCCCUUUCCGGCCACAAAAUACAAAAAAAAUUAACUCCUAAAUUGCAUAGUCGUUCUUCCCAUUGAACCUGGCAAACAAUGAUUACGAUGAACCAGGCUUCGACACCAUGAUAUCAUAUGAGAAGAAUGAAUCGAAAGAUGAAAGAUACACAAUGUAACGUGGUUCCCCAAUAGUGUGUUGAGUACGUCCACAGACCAAAGGGAGCCGAUCUUAUUAUCGAAGAGGAGCCAAAUACGAUAGAUACAAGAGAUCUUACUAUGCACUGAAUAUAUAGCAUAGCUGAACCAACCCUACACGCCUACACUCUUUGGCUCAUAAGACAGCCAAACACGGCAGCCCAACCGUGACAAAAAAAAUGCCCCAAACAAAAGUAGACCCAAACCCAGACUACAAUAGACCCAAAAUACUGGUACAUUAACACUAUGAGGUUUUAUUUCUAUUAGCAUAUAAUAAAAACAUCAACGUUCAAUACAUCUCUCGUAAAAGUAAAUAAAUUAGCUCAUCAAAUAGCAAGUUAUUCUUUACAAUUUCUACCACAUUCCUCACAACUUAGCAAUCUCACCCUCCUGACAAUCAACAAAAUGUUCUCUUCGUAACAUCAACCUGACAUGUAAAUCCUAACCUGUAGGUUUUGUAUUUUUUAGCCCCCCCCUUUCUUCUCACCACUCAUUUUCCUUUAUUUUUUUAUAUUUUAGAAUAUUAGGAUGUAUAGUUGCGCUAUCUUUUCUCCUCUAUGGCUUGGGGUUGAUUUGACAAAAACUAUUUGGUUUGGCUGCAUAGUAAUUGGCGGCUGCAGUUCCAGAAAAUACAAGAGUCAAGUGUCACAAUGAGUUCAGAUAGCUGGGAGUCUGAGAAGGUGAUUAGAUGAGAGAGAGAAAGGAUCAGGAGUUCCCAUAUUCUUUGAGACACAACAUGAGGGAAGGCCUUGUUGUAGAGGUUGAUCGAGAGACCACAAUGAGCACCGUGUACCAAGCUCGGAAUCACCACAUCAUCGAGGAACUAUGGAGAGGAUGCAUGUACGUAACAUCCCGUCCCUAAAUCUAUUAUAGUUGAACCACUAGUUCAACAUAUAUAACGACUAAUUAGGAUUACGAUGCAACACACAAGUCAAACCGAGAAAUUAAAGUUAAUGAUUAGAACUCUACAAAUAUUAUAUAUUCAUCAAUAUUAAAAUGAGAGUUACUAUUGCAUCGAGAAGGUAUGAUCCCAUCCAACCAAUCCUAUGUAAGCGUUAUGUCUAACAAAAAAUGUAAGGCUUAUAUUUACUCCAUAAACUCUAUAUUCUAUGAAAGUUACUAUUGCAUCAAAAAUUUAUGAUCCCCUCCAAUCAACCAUAUGAAAACGUUAUGUGUAACAAAAAAUAUAAGGUUUAUAUUUACAUAUUUACUCCAUAAAUUUAAUUUUUUGUUAUUUUAUAAAUUCAUAUUCCCUUCAAUUUAAAAUAUGCUUUAGUUUCUAAUUAAAUUAUAUAAUAUCUCAACUUUCUUAACAUGUUACUCAUUGAAUCCAAAUUGUGGUAUCUCCGGCAACUUAUCUCACAAUUAUAUUUGCUAAUGAACAAUAGUAACUCAAUAAUGUAUAUAUUCAAUUUUCAGUGGUUGCAUAUGUUAUCAGAUUUUAUAUAUGAAUUUCUUUAUUAUUUGGUCGGAUUCAUUUUUAUAUUUGUCACACUAGAACUAUAUUAUUUUCUGCGAUGGAGCGCGAGCUAUUUCUAAUUAUGAUUAUAAAUGAAAUCAUUAAACUUUUACAUAAUUGGGGAGAUUACACACUUUGUAAUUACAUAUUCCAUUAUUGAAACAUAAGCUCGUGAGAGAGAGUGAAACGCUCCCAACUUUGGAGUAUUGUUUCAUUACAUCUUCCCUGAAGCUCGUCGGAGGAGGAGCUUUCUUUGUAGGUGCGCUCCUCUGGAGCUCCACUCGUGUUCGGUCUUCGCCGAUGGAUCUCUAAGAUCCCUGGGUUUUCCAUUCGCCUAGCUUUUGAUUUGAUUUUCCUGCGAUUUACUGGUUUUCUGAUUCUAUGACUGAUCCUUCGUCACUAAAUCGUCGGCGGGCCUGAGUGGUGGUGAGGCGAAGAAAUCUUGGGCAUCGAUUGUUGGAACGUGUGGGGCAGAUCAGAAAUUCGUUGAGGUGUCAGACUCAGCUUUUUUGGACGGAGCUCUUAUGAUUCCGAAGGAAAUUGCUGAUAUGGGUGUGAAAAGCUUAAGAUCGGAGAUUAUUGGGUAGUUUAUGGGGAAUCCGCCACUGAUGAGGGUUAUUGCGUCUAUGAUAAACAAACUUUGGGGAUACGAAGGGGAGGUAGUCCUAUCCGUUCUAUCUCCAUGCUUCUUUCUAAUUGAAUGUCCUUUGUGAAUGGGUAUUAGGGCGUGCUUGGUAUAUUCAUCACUCUGUUAUGAUCUCGCGUAAGUGAAAUCCAGGGAUUACUCCUUUAGAUAUUGAAGUUAAGGAGGUGCCGAAGUGGAAUUCUCUCUGGAAUGUUCCUCCACAACACAUUAAUGCUGCUAUUGAAUGGAUGGUCGGCAGAAUUGGUACACCUAUUAACAAGUUUGUGAGGAUAGGGCUUAUAGUUAAGGUGUGUAUUCUUAUGAGUGAAGAGAAGGAAUGUCCUCUAAAUGUAUCAGUCUGGUUGAAUGGAGAGUGAAUGGUGAUUGAAAUUAAAACACCAUUGGUAGAGUUUGCUUAUAAUAACUCUUACCAUAGUAGUCUGGGUAUAGCUCCGUAUGAGGCACUGUACGGACGAAAGUGUAGAACUCCAUUGUGUUGGGAUGAAGAGGGAGAAAGACAAAUAACUGGGCCAGAGUUAGUUCAGGAAACAGCUGAUAAGGUGAAAGUGAUUCGGGAAAAACUCAGAGUGGGUCAGGAUCGUCAGAAGCAGUAUGCAGAUCGUCGAACUCAUGAGAUCAGUUAUGAGGUCGGGGAAAAGGUUUUUCUUAAGGUAUCUCUUUGGAAAGGUCUAAUGCGAUUUGGGAGAAAAGGAAAGCUAGCUCCGAGGUAUAUGGGACCUUAUGACAUUAUAGGUAAAGUAGGACCAGUUGCUUAUACCCUUGCCUUACCAACUGAACUUGAUAGAAUCCAUAACGUGUUUCAUGUGAGUCUGCUUAAAAAGUAUCAUGUGGAUCCAUCUCAUAUUGUCCAACCGGAGGAGGUAGAGUUGGAGGAAGAUUUAUCGUAUCAGGAAGUGCCAGUUCAGAUUGUAGAUUCGCAAGUUCGAUCCUUGCGAAAUAAGCAGAUCCCUAUGUUGAAAGUGGUAUGGAGAAAUCAGGAGAAUGAGUCUGCUACAUGGGAGACGGAAGCAAGUAUGCGGGAGAAGUACCCUGAGCUAGUAGAGGCUUACUUAUCAGGUUAACUUAUUACUAGUUUCUUCAUUGAUAUGNNNNNNNNNNNNNNNNNNNNNNNNNNNNNNNNNNNNNNNNNNNNNNNNNNNNNNNNNNNNNNNNNNNNNNNNNNNNNNNNNNNNNNNNNNNNNNNNNNNNNNNNNNNNNNNNNNNNNNNNNNNNNNNNNNNNNNNNNNNNNNNNNNNNNNNNNNNNNNNNNNNNNNNNNNNNNNNNNNNNNNNNNNNNNNNNNNNNNNNNNNNNNNNNNNNNNNNNNNNNNNNNNNNNNNNNNNNNNNNNNNNNNNNNNNNNNNNNNNNNNNNNNNNNNNNNNNNNNNNNNNNNNNUGAAAGAGUAUUAAAGGGGGCAUACACCCAGUUAAUUAAAGACAAAAAUACCCCGUAGCUUAUAGCCUUGACACUUAAGAGAAAUAUAGCACGGGUACUCACUUCGUAUCAUCAAAGAUCUUUGGAAUUACGUUAUCGACUCAGAAGCUUAUAUUGGUAUUCUUAAGAAUUAUUUCUGAUGAGGGUCUCCUGCGUAUCCGACCGGGUUAGACAUUCCAUUAUGAGUUUAUUAUUAUUAAGGCUAUAUGCAUGAUAGGGUAAUGCCCGUUUAAUCUUAAGAUUUUAUAUGCUUCUUUAUCAUCUUUAUUACUUAAUAUGAUACAUGUUCUGUUACUUUGCUGAUAUAUCUGAUUUAGUAUAUGUGUUAAUAUGAGCAGUAGUUGUUGCUGAUUAUUGAAUAAAUCUGGUAAUUGAUUGAUCACCUAGUUAGGGCCCGUAUGCUGGCGAUUGUGCUUAUUGCACUUCUGUUACGCGAUGGGCCUUGGUACCCGCCACAACUAACUAUUGUCGUGGGCUUUGAUAAGCGCCACACUAACUCUACGUGGGCCAUUUUAGUGCCACUAACUCUACGUGGGUCGUCAGCAUAUGUGAGCCGGAAUCCCAAAUAAAAUAUGGAUAUAAAUUAGAUUAUAGAAAUAGCCUUAUGUGUUAUAUUUUGUGUACCUCCUAUAUGAAUAUUUGUACCAUAUAGUGAUUAGGACGUAGAUCCUCACUUAGUGAUCAGCACUGACCCUUACUUUCCAUUUCAGAGCGACAGUAGGCUUUACUAGGUCACACACUGCAAAAUGGUAUCAUCGAGCUCCGGGGUCGGUCAUCAUGGUGACGACGCCAGGUAGAUAUCGAAGAUUGUGUCUUGAUCCUCGUUUUGUAUUUAAAGUUUAUUUGAGACUCUUACUUCCAUCAUGUGCAUAUGUUAUGAGUGGUUAUGUACUAGUACAAUGUGAGAUAUGGUUUUGUAAAAUGUAGUGGCCGAGAGGGCAAGUAUAUGGUUACUCUGGUUCGAGCCUGUGAAUCUCGAGACUUCUGUUCUAUAUGUAUAUGCGUCCUGUUGGACUUCUGGUAUAGUGUAUGAUAUUGUGUAAAGUCAAUAAGUCAUAUAUGACAUCUUGAGCAGUUUUUGUAUUGACGAAUUAAUUAUAUGAGUACAUAUAAGCACAAUCCUAGAUUAUGAUGAAGGAAUUAAUCGGAAUUAAUCGGAUGGGUGUAAACAUUAAAUUAUGUAUACGGUAUAAGGAGCGUAGCACCCUAUUAUUGCUUCGCUGUUUUAUUUUAAAACGAACAUGUUAGUAGUGUGGGUGUUACAUUUUCCACUUGGAAUUGGUUUACAAACUGAACAUCCUGGUUAUUCUGGCGGAGUAGUAUAUAACUAAACAUCUUGAAGCAUUAUGAGCAGUUUAUGCUUGUACAGGUUACUGGUUCAUGUCCUUUUCAAAUUUAUGUGGUUUAUGAGGCUAAUAAAGUGGAUGAAAGGAAGAGAAUGUAUGAUAUGUUAAGAGGCCAGCUUCUUGCUAAUGUUCCUAUGGUUGGUUUAGGGGAUUUUAAUGCAAUUACAUCGCCCUUAGAAGUGUUAAACUCAGUUGGUAUUACUAAGAGUAUGAUGGAAUUUAAUGACUGGAUUGCUAUUAAUGAGUUGAUGGAUCAUCAGGUUGUUGGACCGUUCUUCUCUUGGCAUAACAAUAGAACUGAUGACCCUAUUGCAAGAAGGAUUAACAUAUGCAUGGUGGAUUUGGUUUGGAUCUCUCAAUUCCCUCAAAGUAUGGUGCAGAUGCUUGAGUCGGGGGUGUCAAAUCAUUGUGGCAUAUUGUUUGAAACAAAAGUUAUGGUUGGUUCCAUUCCUAAAGCGUUUAAAUUCUUUAAUUUUUAGGUUGAUUGGUCUGGAUAUUAGGAAAAUGUGGCUAGCGCUUGGGAUAAAUCAGAUGCACUGACUCAUCGAGCAGGGUUUGAGAAAAUUUAUGCUAGACUUCGUAAUGUCAGAGGUAGCUUGCGUUGGUUUAACAAACAAACGUGUUACUGAAGCUGAACAAAGUAUGAAGUAUCACCAAGCUGAGGCUAUGAAUAAUCCCGAUCACCUCUAUGUUGCUAAAGAAAAAGAGAGUUGUGGUAGCUGGAUGAAAUUAAAGAAUUCAGAGGAGAGUUUUCUUGCUCAUAAGGCAAAAGAGAACUGGUUGAAAUUGGGAGAUUCAAAUACGAGAAUCUUUCAUAACUCUGUUAAGAUCAAGCAAGCUAAGAAGUAGAUUAUUCAGAGUGAAGACUCCAUGGGAAGAAUGGUUAAUGGAGUUAAUGAUAUUGCAGAGGUUAUUGUUAACUACUACAUGGAUUUGCUGGGAAAUACUAAUAAUGAAGUAGAGCAUUGCUCCAAGGAGCAGCUUACUCCUCUCCUUAUCAAGAAGAGGAGGAGAUCGGGAAAGGGCUUUUCUCAAUUCCUGAUGGCAAAAGUCCCAAACUUGAUGGAUUUUCAGCUCUUUUUUUCAAGAAUGCUUGGGAUAUAGUUGGGCCUGAAAUUGUUGAAGUAGUUAAAAAGUUCUUUGAUUCGAAGAAGAUUCCAAGGGUGGUAACUCUUCACUUCUAGCAUUGGUUCCUAAAAAGAUUAACGCAACUAAUAUUUAUGAUUAUAGGCCUAUUUCUUGCUGUAAUGUCCUUUACAAAAUCAUUGCCAAAGUUCUUACAAAUAGAAUGGUGAGCUGCCUACCCGUGUAUGAUUAGCAACUCUCAAUCUACAUUUGUGAAGGGGAGAACAAUUAGAGACAAUAUCCUACAUGCGCAUGAGUUAGUAUGUUCUUAUCAUCUCAGUCACAUUUCUCCUCAUUGUGCUUUAAAAGUUGACUUCAUUAAAGCGUUUGAUUCGGUUGACAUUACUUACUUGAUCACUGCUCUGAGAGCUAUGGAGUUCCCUGAGAAGUUUGUUGGUUGGAUUAAUGGAUGCAUUACCACAAUUAUGAUUAGUAUUGGUAUUAAUGGAGGUAUGAUUGGUUACUUUGAGGGGGGGGGGGGGGGGUUGGGGGAGGGGGGGCCCCUUCGUCCCAAUCUUUUGGUUUUACCGUUGUUGACUUCAUUAAAGCGUUUGAUUCGGUUGACAUUACUUACUUGAUCACUGCUCUGAGAGCUAUGGAGUUCCCUGAGAAGUUUGUUGGUUGGAUUAAUGGAUGCAUUACCACAAUUAUGAUUAGUAUUGGUAUUAAUGGAGGUAUGAUUGGUUACUUUGAGGGGGGGGGGGAAGGUUUGAGGCAGGGGGAUCCCUUGUUCCCAACAUUGUUUGUUAUUGCUAUGGAGUCCCUUCACUUCUUAUGUUGCAGGCUGCUCAACAGGGGUCAAUUCCAUUUCACCCCAAGUGUAAAAGGCUCAAUAUCACUCGUCUAUGCUUUGCAGAUGACUUACUUGUUUUUACCAAUGGCUCUGUGAAUGGAGUUAUGGGAAUUCAAGCUGUCUCGAACCGUUUCUAUAGGAUAUUAGGCCUCCAGCUUAAACCGGAAAAAAUUGAGAUUUUCUUCUCACGAACACUUAGUCCUCAGGUUUGUGAUGAUGCUAUUAUGGCUUUAGGUUUUAGAGAGGGCAAGCUUCCUAUCGGAUAUCUUGGAAUCCCUUUAAUCUUUGGUAAGCUCUCAACUAAGGAUUGUGAUAUAGUUGUGGAAAAGAUCACAACCAAAAUAAAGGGGUGGAGAGUUAGGCUUCUUAGUUAUGCAGGUAGACUACAAUUGGUUAACUUUGUGUUAUCUUCUAUGAGCCAGUAUUGGUUGUCUAUCUUCCUGUUACCAAAUUCCAUUAUUUGUCCAAUUGAGAAAUUUUGUGAUGGGGGUAAGAAGAAAGAAAAAUUUGCUUGGAAAUCAGUGGCAAAACAGAAGAAGGAAGGUGGACUUGGUAUUCGUGAUCUCAGGGCCUGGAAUCUCGCUUGCAUCACUCGGAAUAUUUGAAGCAUUCUCCUUAAGUCCGACUCUCUAUGAAUUGCUUGGAUUGAUAGUUACAGACUUAAAGGUGGGUCAGUGCUGCUCAGUAAAGGGCAGCCUUACCACUCUUGGAUUUGGAGAAGAAUUCUUAAGACCAGACACUCUGCAACUCAAUUCAUUACUUUUGAUUCUGAUGGUGCUCCUCUUUGGCAAGGUAACUUGAUGCUUAAGUUCUCGGUCUCAACUGUCUGGGAAACAUUUAGGGCUCGUGGUCCUAUUUUUGUUUGGUUUGACUUCGUCUGGAGAGUGCCUCGUAUUAAUAAGCAUUGCUUCAUUCUUUGGUUGGCAAUGCAAAGUCGUCUUACUACAAAAGUGUGGAUGGAUAGCUGGGGGCUUAGUAUUGAUGUUUCCAGCAUGCUUUGUCACAAUGGAGUUGAUUCCAUUGAGCAUUUAUUCCAAGGUUUCUCCUUCUUGAAAGAGAUCCGGCGAUACUGUUUUGGAAACUCUGCUGGCUCAGCGGGGAGUUGGGAGGAAGAAAUUAAGAUUCUGUCUUAGCAUAAUAGAGAUAGUUUGAAUGAUGGACUAUUUAGACUUAAGCGGAGAGCCUUGAUUUGGAAUGUUUGGUAUGAGAGGUGUCUUUGUAAUGCAGGGGAGAGUGCAACCUCAGCCUAUAUAGCCUUGCUCGCUACCCGAUAAUCUCGGGUUUCGGGUGUACCCGUACCGUCAACGGGUCAUUUUGACCAUGUAAUUUCAGCCCGUGUUGGGUGGGUUUCGGGUUUGCCUUCCUUAUAUGCCAAUCGGUCUGCUUGUGGGGUUGAUUUUUGCAAGUAUGCCUAAAUGCGGAGUUUUUGGUAUCUCUUCACUUACUAUACAAGUGGCCUCUACAACAAAGCGGAAGAUCAUAUCAUAUCUCAUCUUCUCCAAAAUCCAUAAUAGGUCAUACUCUCUUAACUACCACCAGAGAACUCGAAGCUUCUGACGUUCAGUGUUCUGCCACAACAAGCUGAUGAAACCUCUAUCGUCAUUCCUCAGCAUGAGAGGAGGCUGAAACCCUCCGCUUCUCUUUCUCUUUUUUGUCUAUAGGUGUAGUCUUUCCAUUUGUGAUUAGGGUUCAGUUGAAGCUCUAUCGAUCUAGUAAUUCCAUUGUAACCUUCCCUCUGAUUAGUGCGAUUUCCUGGUUGAGUCUUCCCUCUCUGAGGCUCCGCUAAGUAGGAGAGUUAACUCCGAACAACGUUAACAAACUAUAUGUCUCUUUAUGUUUCUUGCUUGAUCUUCCUUUGUAUGUUUGAUAUGCGAGCGUCGGAGAGCCAGUGAGAUUUUGUUCUAUUGAUUCUGCUGCGAGUGAGACCGGAUCCGAUAUUAGAGAGUAAAGAAAGAGGAGAUUCAGUGCUAAUCACUGAGUAUCUCUAAAGGCAUUGCAUUAAAGAGUUAUAAAAACAAGCAAGAAGAACAACUCUUCAAAACUGAACAUAAUAAUAGGUGCUAAUAGUAGAGGAUAAAUGUGUUAGUGAAUAAUAUAAAUAUUAAUCAGCGGAACCCUCCAACACUUCGAGUUAUUGGGAUGCAACGGUUCUUGACAUGGUAUUCGAGCUUUAAAAGACCGAGAGGUCUCCGUUCUGAAUCUCAGUAGCCCCCAUUUCGUGCACAUGACUUACCACGUGAAGUUGUGAAAAUCUCAACACUUCUUAGAGCUUCUGUUUGAGGGGGGUGUGUUAGUGAAUAAUUUAAAUAUUAGGCAACAAACUCUAAAAUGCCACGACCUAUAGGCAUAUCACCAAAAAUGUCACCACAGUUUUUAUAUAAUUUCUACGUCACGACCUAUCAAAUACUUCAUAAAUAUGUCAUGUCAUUAGAUUUAUUUGUGUUCCAGCCCCAUGUGGAUUUGACGAUGUUAAAUGAGUCAGCAAAAAUGACUGUUUCACCCACCACGUAGGCAUAAAUCUAUCCGACUAAAUAAUUGAUAAUUUAAUUUUAAUUUUAAAACUCAAGUUUUUCAAAUUUAAUAUGCAUCGUCUAUUUCAUCUAAUUAACACCCAGCUCCUUCUUUUAAACUCAUAUUUAUCACCUACAACUAGAAGACGAUGACAGUAACACCACAAUCGUCUAUGACAGAUUGAACUAGAACCACCAUUGACAACGAGGUUAUGGUGGACGGGCAAAAACUCGAAGUAGGCCAUACUAGGGAUGAGGGUGACAGAGACAUCGGACGGUUUACAGAGCGGGUUCAAAUUGACACCAAAAUAGGAUCAGAGCUGUAAAUAUGUGACCUCCAUCUCUCGCUCGACUGUCAGCAUCAAUUUCCUUUCCCCUGCUGAUGUACUGGAGUUGUAUGUACUGUAACCAAACUAAUUAGAUGAAUUUCAGUUCAGUGUGUCAUUUAAAGUAAUGAAAAGUUAGUAAAUUAACUAAUCAAGCAACCUGGUGAGAAAUUCGGAGAUGGGGGAGAGAGCAUAUAGAGAUUGAAUUAGAGUCCAUAAUGGCAGAGGUUUUGUCUACGGUAUCAUCCCAGUGAAAGGCAAGCCCGUAAGUGGAUCCUCCGAUAGUCUCCAUCCACUAUGGAAAGACUUUGUUUGAUUCCAUCAGACAACCAUUCAAGCCCUACUUCAAUUCCACACCUCCCCCUUGUAUGCACCAUCGUCGAUCAUCCUGCCGCGAACAGACUCCACAAGCUGUAGGACACGAUUCUGGGAUCCCUGAUUUCGGUGCUGAUGCAGCACUACGUCCCUCGCCGUCAGCGGUUCCCGUUGGAGAGGGGACUGCCUCCGUGGUGGUGGCUGAUCGGGAACGAGAUCUGGUGGGAAGGAGAAGGAUCGAUGACGGAGCACGACCCAUGUUGUACCGGAAGCCACACGAUCUGAAGAAGGCUUGAAAGUUGAGCCUGAUGACGGCGGUGAUGAAGCACAUGGCGCCUGAUUUCUACCGAAUGCGACGGCGGCGGCGGCGGCAACGGUGGUGGAGUGAUUAGGGAAGCGAGAUGGCGGAAGAACAUUAGGGUUUCAAAGAAGAAAUAAGGUGUUAAACUAAAAUGGAUGGUACAGAUUGAAUUUGAUAAAAAUGUGUUUUAAAAUUAAAACUGAAUUAUUAAAUAUCCAGUCAGAUGGAUUUAUGCCUAUGGCAGGUGAAACUGUAAUUUUAACUGACUCAUUUAACGGCGUAAAGUUCAUGUGGGUUGUAAUACCGAAAAAUUUAAUGGCGGGAUAUGGAAGAUUAAGUAUUGGACAGGUCAUGACGAAGAAUAGAGUUGACAACUCGGUUUUGGUUAAUCGGUUAACCGACCGAAUCGGUUAAAAUUGGUUUAACCAAUAUUAGGUCAGUUGGUGAAAUAGUCUAUGUAUUCGUAAAAUCGGAUAAUCGGUUAAAAGUUGGUUAAAUGAAAUUAUCGUCAAAUCCUGAGUGAAAUUACCUCUAUUCAAUGAAAACUAUCCCAAUUUUGACAUUAAAAGUGUAGGUUAAAAUUAGUCGGUCGGUUAACCUACGGUUAUUUAACCACGACGGUCGGUUAAUUGUCGGUUAAUUAACUGUUGAAGUCGGUCAGUUAGUUAAAAAAGUUAACCAAUCUGAAUGUUCAUUUCAUUUUUUCCGAUAGGGUUGGACAUCUUGUAACGGUUAUUUAGGUAUACCCAUACCCGUCCCAAUUUUUUAGGGUUAUGGGUACCCAUAAUACUUGUUAUAUUCAAACAGGAUGGGAUAUGGAAUUAAAAAUUGACAUAUGGGAUACCCGUGGGUUACCCGCAAAUCCCAUUCGGUAUUUUGGGUUCCAGUAAUACCCAUUAAAUUAUUAGAAUAAUAUAAAUAAUUGCGCCCUUUAAUGAAGGUUGAAACAUGCCGAAAAGUCUAAUGGGAUUGAGAUUAGAGCUAAAAAUUUUGUAUAAUAUUAGACUAAUUUCAUUACUAAUGUAUAAUAUUAGACUAAUGUCAUUAGUAGUGUUGUAUAAUAUUAAAUUAAUGUCAUUAAUAGUAUUGUGUAAUAUUAUACUAAUUUAAGUGGUUGUGUUUUGAAUGUUUGAGCUUUAGAGUAGUAGAUAUUUAUAACUUAUUUUGUUAGGAUAUUUGUGGGUAAAAUGGAAACCGCUAUUUUCUAGUAUGGUAAUGGGUUUACCCAUACGGAUUUGGGACAUGGGAAUGAGUUUGAUUCCCAAACGGUAAUGGGUAUCCGAGUUAAACAGGAUGUGUACCCAAUCCCGUCCCGUUGUCCAGCCCAAUUUCCCGACCCUAAUAACCGAAUUAACAGACUCUAAGGCCUAACGAAUAAACCAUAUCGAAAUAGUGGUGAUAUUUUUUGCGAUAUGUCUAUAUGUCAUGACAUUUUAGAGUUUUUUAUCAGAAACUUUUCCAAAAUAUAUGAGUUAUUGAAAUAUAACGGUUUUUGAAAAAAUAUUUGAUAUUAGAAAGCAUAAAGGCAUGAUUAAAUGUGAUUAAUUUGGCCAGUCACCAAUGGGAAUUGGGCCACGGUUUGCAAUCAGUAAAUGCGAAGGGUUUAAGUGAGAAAGAGGAUGCGAGAUUGAUAAAAAACAAUUUUAGCCAUGAUUUAAUAAAAAAUUACUUAAACAGUCAAGUGGAAACGUAAAUUACGCGAUUUGUUUGUUGCGGAAUUAGAAAAUUAUAGAUUGAAAAAAUUACUAAUAUUGCUGAUUAGUUGCUUGCGGAAUAAGAAUUUGGUUGCCGGUAUCGAAAAACCAAAGAAAGAAAAAUGAGAAUUAGUGAAUUUGUGAGAAAUAAAAGAGAGGAGAGAGGCUUAUUUAUAGAUCCGGAUGAGGCCUUUUAUAACGCACCACGUGUUCUAGGAAGCUUCCCCGGCUACUUUCCAACGUUCAACUAACGGCCGUUUGAAUAUAAUCGUUGGAUCUGCAAGUUAAAAAUCGGUAUAUCUCAACAACUUGAAUUAUUAAAAAAGAAUUCAGAUCGAGGAAAUAGAAAUUUUCUAAAACGUCAACUUAGGUGGAGGAAGUAGCCAAGUAGGAGUAGGUGAUGAAAUAUAUAAAAGGUCAACAAAGGGUAAGUUAAAAUUUUAUCAAAAAAAAAACAAAGGGUAAGUUAAAUACGCUUUCGCAAACACAUAAUUAUAAAAGAAAAUUAAAUCAGUGGAAAGAUCAAACAAAAUCUCGCUUGAACCUGGUGCAGUACUGAUGACCAACCACCACCAUAUCAUACAUAUACACAAAGCAUAUGAUCUCUCUAUAGCUUGCUACUUAACAACAUCAUAUAUAUACAUGGAAAUGAAAUCAGUAACCCAAAUCAACAAACCAUACACAGUAAAUUAAACCAACCAAUUAAUUAAGGAACGUACAACCAGAAGAUAGCAGACAGACAGAGAUGAUUACACUAAUUGCUUAUCAGUUUGAUUCAGGGUUCGGCCCGCUAGGCACUUCAUGUUCCCCAGCUCUGAACGCUCGAUUCGAAGUGCUGUUUCCGGUAGAUGCAUCAGCUUCUGCUGGUAAGUCGUUGGUGCUGGUUUCCUGUGGAACAUUAACAGAAGUACUACUAGUGGUGGCCGACGGCAGAUGAUGAUAGUGAUCAUCAUCUUUCUCAGUGACAAGGACAAGGGAAGGAAGGAGUAUGAGGAGAGCAAGAAGGAGGAGGAGUAAAAGAGGUCUUGAUGAUGAGGAUUCACCAUAAGCCAUGGGAUCUUUUAUUAGGAUUCUGAAAACUGCUAUACGUACUAGUAGCACUAGUAGUUAGUAGUGGUAGCAGUAGUAAUAAAAAAGAAAGCUGUAACCGCCCACCCCCCAAAUGUCCCACGGGGGAUCAAUAUCCAUGAACAAACUGAAAGCCGCUUAAUUAUUAGCUGCACCCACAGACAGACCCCAGAAACACCUACAGCUGGCUAGCCUGAAUAGUGAAAGAAAGAGGAAGCAAGAAGAAGAAGAAGAAGAAGAAGAAGAAUAAAGAGAGAGGAAAGGAAGGGCAGAUUUAUUAUUAUGAAACUCAAAGCCAAAGGUGUGUAAAACUAAAACCUCCCGUACGUAGGUUGUUACUUUUGAGUAUAAAAAGAACUAUAUUGAGAUGACAAAAUUACCCUUUGGUGAGGGUUAAGCUACUAAGCUAGAAAGAGGCAAACCAGAAUUCUAUGCAACUGUGUACAGGCAGAGCGAAAUGUAGGUUGAGAAGAGAAGGGUAGCUAAAAGGUAGUAAUAAUGGGUGAAUAAUGGGGAUUUCGACAGAAAGUGACAAAGAAGAAGAGCGAGUGGGGUUCCC
RNAcentral lists this long non-coding RNA (16271 nucleotides) under Linum usitatissimum (flax). Its description in RNAcentral is "long non-coding RNA (LUSI_LNC006985)". The record is from RNAcentral. Lineage: Eukaryota; Viridiplantae; Streptophyta; Magnoliopsida; Malpighiales; Linaceae.